Molecule: long non-coding RNA, 17151 nt
Filed under: Podarcis lilfordi (Lilford's wall lizard)
Lineage: Eukaryota; Metazoa; Chordata; Lepidosauria; Squamata; Lacertidae
Source: RNAcentral
GUUGUAUUUGUCAUGGGGAAAGAGACACAGAUACAGAUAUGAUUUUUCACCAGAGCUGCUCUCAGUGUUUGAAAGCAAGCAAGGGAAAUGUAAGUAUUCGAGCCACAUAGAGGCCCUUAAUCUUCGAGGAAGAUAGUGGGCAGAACAAAAUUAAAAAGCAGUUUGAGGAUUCUUCUUGUUUUUAACAUUCCAGGCAGAUGAUCUAUUAUUUGGCUGCUCUAAGAACGCAAUAAGUUUCUGGGUAGACUGAUGUUAAUUGAAUCACAGUUCAAUUCUCUUUGUCCAGGGAAGCAAUCUGUCUAGAACAGUUGUGUAAGGAUUAUAGAUUGUGGCUUCAAGCUUUAAUUGUUUUAGUCCAGGCAUGAAAAUAGCUGCUCACUUGGCCCCAUGUGGCAAGUGAGAAUUUCCUCCUGGCAACUUGGCUGGGAAACUUUUUGCAAAAAGGAGGUGCUUCCUUCAGGCCAUUGAUGUGCCUCAAAUGAAUAUCGCCAUUUAUUCUGGACAGGGAGACUAAGAAAAAUAUAGAGAGACAGUAGCUUUUGUGGGCUAACAUGCAGAGCAGUUUUACUUGGUUUUACAGAUUUAGCUGAUUAAUUAAAGAGCUGGCCCUAACCAAUUACAUAGCUGGAAAUUCCAGCCAUAGUCGUUCAUUUCUUAGGCUAUUUUUAUUCUGGGGUGUUACUCUAAAAGUGCCCAUCAUCACAGGGCCAUAAAGUUGCUGCAGAGCAAGAAUGAGAGCCAAGGGCUACCCCACUUUAUAUGUUAUUAUCUGUGUUUUUAAUGAACAAGGUGGCGGCAGAGCCUUGAAAAGAGGCCCCACAAUUUCAGGUGCAUCUGCAAACGACUCUGUUUAGAAGCUAUUUUUGGCAUGCUAGCUGUAUAUCAAUUAACUAAUAAUAUUCAAUGGACAUUCAUCAGUUGAGAGGGUCAGUGCCAGAUUUAUGUAUAGGCUAAGUAGGCUGAAGCUUGGGGCCUCUGGAUCUAGGAGGCCUCCCCCGCCCCCCAGCGGGCAGUCUCCCCUCUCCCAAAAUUGCAAAGCCAAGACUUCAUGCGAAGAUAUUAAAUUUAAAUUAUGUUACAAUCUUAGAGAAAAUGUCAUUAAAAUGCAAUAUAGAUGGCACCUUACCCCGGCCAAAUUGGCCAAAUUGGAUAAGAACAGAUCAGAGAUGUGCUGGAGAUGUAAAAAGGGGGUGGGCUCAUAUAUGCACAUGUGGUGGGAAUGAGAGAAAAUAAGAGAGUUUUGGAAUAUUAUAUAUAAUGAAUUUUAAAAGAUGUUCAAAUUCCCAUUUACAAAAAAACCCAGAAGCCUUCCUUCUAGGAAUUAUGUCAAUAGAAAUUAAGGAAAAUGCUAGAUCACUCUUCAUGUAGGCAAGAGCAGCCGCCAGAAUAUUAGUGGCAAAGAACUGGGAAAGUGAGACUACCCCCACAAAGACUGAAUGGCAGGUACAAAGGAUAGAAUACAUACAAUUGGCAAAAAUGACAGGGAGAGUUAGAGGGCAUACGAUACAGAAGAUGAACAAAGAAUGGAUAGUAUUUAAAGAGUAUUUGAGAAACUAUUGUGAUAACAAAAAUCUCCUGGCAGAUCUAGAAUAAUUCUUGUAAGUUACUGGUGAUAAAAAAUAUUUAAAAAAAAAAGAAUUGGAAAAACAUAAAACAACAAGAAAGUACAAUGUGUAAAAAAACAAAUUCAGAUAUAGUACAAUGAGAACAAUCGGAAGUUUAUUUUAAUAAUUUCAUUUAUUUAUCUUUUAUAUUUUCUUUUCUUUCUUUUUUAAGCAAAGGUUGUGUAUGUAGACUGAAUAUAUGUAAUAUUACGCAUAUUGUGUAUGUAAGUGUUGUUGUAAGUUCAAAACGAAACAGGGCAAAGGCUAAUAGAGUUCUGCCAAGAGAACAGGCUGGUUAUCACAAACACUCUUUUCCAACAACACAAGAGACGACUCUACACAUGGACAUCACCAGAUGGGCAGCAUCAAAAUCAGAUUGAUUAUAUUCUCUGCAGCCAAAGAUGGAGAAGCUCUAUACAGUCAGCAAAAACAAGACCUGGAGCUGACUGUGGCUCAGAUCAUCAGCUUCUUAUAGCAAAAUUCAAGCUUAAACUGAAGAACGUAGGAAAAACCACUGGGCCAGUAAGAUACAAUCUAAAUCAAAUCCCAUAUGAAUGCACAAUGGAAGUGAGGAACAGGUUUAAGGAUUUAGAUUUGGUGGACAAAGUGCCUGAAGAACUAUGGACGGAGGCUCGUAACAUUAUACAGGAGGCAGCAACGAAAACCAUCCCAAUUAAAAGGAAAUGCAAGAAAGCAAAGUGGCUGUCCAAGGAGGUCUUACAAAUAGCGGGGAGAGAAGGCAAGCAAAAUGUGAGGGAGAUAGUGAACAAUACAGGAAACUGAAUGCAGAUUUCCAAAAAAUAGCAAGGAGAGACAAGAAGGCCUUCUUAAACAAGCAAUGCAAAGAAAUAGAGGAAAACAAUAGAAUGGGGAAAACCAGAGAUCUGUUCAAGAAAAUUGGAGAUAUGAAAGGAACAUUUCAUACAAAGAUUACCAUAAUAAAGGACAAAAGUGGUAAGGACCUAACAGAAGCAGAAGACAUCAAGAAGAGGUGGCAAGAAUACACAGAGGAAUUAUACCAGAAAGAUAUGGAUGUCUCACACAUCCCAGGUAGUGUGGUUGCUGACCUUGAGCCAGACAUCCUGGAGAGUGAAGUCAAAUGGGCCUUAGAAAGCACUGCUAAUAACAAGGCCAGUGGAAGUGAUGAUAUUCCAUCUGAACUAUUUUAAAUUUUAAAAGAUGAUGCUGUUAAGGUGCUACUCUCAAUAUGCCAGCAAGUUUGGAAAACUCAGCAGUGGCCAGAGGAUUGGAGAAGAUCAGUCUACAUCCCAAUCCUAAAGAAGGGCAAUGCCAAAGAAUGCUCCAACUACCGCACAAUUGCACUCAUUUCACAUGCUACCAAGGUUAUGCUUAAAAUUCUACAAGGCAGGCUUAAGCAGUAUGUGGACUGAGAACUCCCAGAAGUGCAAGCUGCAUUUCGAAGGGACAGAGGAACCAGAGACCAAAUUGCAAACAUGCGUUGGAUUAUGGAGAAAGCUAGAGAGUUCCAGAAAGACAUCUACUUCUGCUUCAUUGACUAUGCAGAAGCCUUUGACUGUGUCGACCACAGCAAACUAUGGCAAGUUCUUAAAGAAAUGGGAGUGCCUGAUCACCUCAUCUGUCUCCUGAGAAAUCUCUAUGUGGGACAAGAAGCUACAGUUAGAACUGGAUAUGGAACAACUGAUUGGUUCAAAAUUGGGAAAGGAGUAUGGCAAGGCUGUAUAUUGUCUCCCUGCUUAUUUAACUGAUAUGCAGAAUUCAUCAUGCGAAAGGCUGGGCUGGAUGAAUCCCAAACCGGAAUUAAGAUUGCCGGAAGAAAUAUCAACAACCUCAGAUAUGCAGAUGACACAACCUUGAUGGCAGAAAGUGAGGAGGAAUUAAAGAACCUUUUAAUGAGGGUGAAACAGGAGAGCGCAAAAUAUGGUCUGAAGCUCAACAUCAAAAAAACGAAGAUCAUGGCCACUGGGCCCAUCACCUCCUGGCAAAUAGAAGGGGAAGAAAUGGGGGCAGUGAGAGAUUUUACUUUCUUGGGCUCCAUGAUCACUGCAGAUGGUGACAGCAGCCACGAAAUUAAAAGACUCCUGAUUCUUGGGAGAAAAGCGAUGACAAACCUAGACAGCAUCUUAAAAAGCAGAGACAUUACCUUGCCGACAAAGGUCCAUAUAGUUAAAGCUAUGGUUUUUCCAGCAGUGAUGUAUGGAAAUGAGAGCUGGACCAUAAUGUAGGCUGAUCGCCGAAGAAUUGAUGCUUUUGAAUUAUGGUGUUGGAGGAGACUCUUGAGAGUCCCAUGGACUGCAAGAAGAUCAAACCUCUCCAUUCUUAAGGAAAUUAGCCCUGAGUGCUCACUGGAAGAACAGAGACUGAAGCUGAGGCUCCAAUACUUUGGCCACCUCAGGAGAAGAGAAGACUCCCUGGAAAAGACCCUGAUGCUGGGAAAGAUGGAGGGCACAAGGAGAAGGGGACGACAGAGGACGAGAUGGUUGGAUAGUGUUCUCGAAGCUACCAGCAUGAGUUUGACCAAACUGCAGGAGGCAGUGGAAGGCAGGAGUCCCUGGCGUGCUCUGGUCCAUGGGGUCAUGAAGAGUCGGACGCGACUAAAUGACUAAACAACAACAACAACAGUGAAUAUACCAUAGUUGUCCAGGGAAAGUUGCAGGCUGACCUAGAAUUGUUCUACAAUUGUUACAUGGGCAGGGAGCCAAUUCGCAUCCAUAGGUGGUGGUUUACUUCUAGGUAAUGUGUGAAGUCACUACAACCUCUUUACCCUUUUCCAAUCCCCCCUCCACCACAUUCAAUCAUGAGAGAUACACAUUUUCCCUUUGUAAGGUUUAGUUCCACUCAAAAGUGCCGUGUAUACACGCACACACACACACACACACACACACACACACACAAACACACAAACACACCUCUGCCAGGAAGUAAGAUGUUGUAGGAGCCAGUGUGGUGUAGUGGUUAAGAGCGGUAGAUUAGUAAUCUUAGGAACCGGGUUUGCGUCUCCGCUCCUCCACAUGCAGCUGCUGGGUGACCUUGGGCCAGUCACACUUCUCUGAAGUCCCUCAGCCCCACUCAUCUCACAGAGUGUUUGUUGUGGGGGAGGAAGGGAAAGGAGAAUGUUGAGACUCCCGAAGGGGAGUGAUAAAGUGGGAUAUCAAAUCCAAACUCUUCUUCUUGUUGUUGUUGUUGUUAGAUGUGCUUUUCUGAUGGAUCUGGGGUCCAGCUGAUCAUGGUGAUCAGAAGCUGAGAAUGGCUUUGUUUGAAAGGCAAUUGUGGACCCAGCCCUGGUAGACAAUGAUAGAAGGAUUCAUUAAUAAAAUGAAAGAGAGCCAAUGUGUCAGUAUUUCAGGUCUCUGGAUAGCUACGGAAAAUUACAAGUUUGAAUUACUUCACACCACGCCAGUUUUUAAAAAGGUCUUCAUUUAAAUAUUGCUUUCCCCUGCUAGACAACCUUGAAUUAAGUGAAGCUCUCAUGUUUUGAUUUGGUUUAGAAUAUACAUUCCUUAAGACAAAUCUCAAGGGGUUGUUUCUGAAGUUAUUCCCUGUGUAUCCUUACAACAGUUAUGCUUCCCUGAAUGCUGGGAGCUGUCUGGCCUGAGAAUAUAUGGAGGGUCUUGCUGGAUCAGGCCAAGCAGAUACUUGUGGGAAGCUCAAAAGCAAUCUCUGCAGGGAAUGCUAAAAACAUGCAUUCUGAAUUAGGCGGAGUAAGGCUGGGGCAGCCCACCCAGGGCUUCAGAUUAUUAUUACUAUUAUAUUUCUAUUUAUAUUUAGUAUUAUGAAUUUAUCUACCACUUUUAUGGUCAAAGGUCGCGUUGUUCCCCUCAACUCCCAUGCAGGAGGAGGAGGACUUGGUCAGGUUAGACUGUCAAAUAAUUUGGUUUGUCAUCUGUUCAAACAGGAAUCGUGUCUUGCAGGGGUGAAACUAGGCUUCAUUUCACUCAGGUUAAAGACCCAGUUUGGCACACACCCCACAUGCAUUUGCACACACAGAACCUGGGAGCCUCUGGAGCAGGGGGCAGCAAGGUUGACCUCGCCUGGGCCGGUUCACUCCAGCGGAGAUCCCUCCGUGGGUCGGAUCGUGUGCGCAGCUGUGAUUUCCGGCGUCUGCGCAGAAAUGAUUUUCGGUGCCUGUGUCUGCACAGAUGUGAUUUUCGGCAUCUGAGCAUGUGCAGACAUGAUUUCCGGUGCCACAGAAGCGAGUCCCCGCGCUGCACUGCGCCUGUUUAGCACCGCGUGUGGGGACUUGGCGAGUGGGCGGCUCAGUUCAGGGGUGGCUCGUGGGCUGGUUAAAGGCCCCCCGUGGGCCUUAGGUUGCCUACUCCUGCUCUGCAGGCUUCACCAGGGGCAAAAAACAUGGCCCCUCCCUGCCAGCUAGGGCUCUGUGGCUUCUAACAAACUCUGGUAAGUUUCAAACCAAGUCAGCUUAUAGAAAUCUGAAAGAAGUGUGUGCAGUGGCAUCCUGGAUCUAUAUACAGUCUAGAUGCCACAUGGACCAAGCCAGAGAAGGAUGUCAGAAUUUCAGCUAUAAAUCAGGAGGAGUGGUGUGUGUGCAAAAAGGAGUGGGAAGGAGGCAAAGGAGAAAUGGGAAUAGUUUGUACAUUCAUUAAAAAAUAUUAAGAAAAAGUUAAAAAGAAAAAGAAAACUUUAUUUUUUUGUUCAAAUAGCCAUUUAUCAAAGCACGUCCCACGAGAAUAAGAUACCCAAGGGAAUCACCAUUGUAAGAAAACACUAUUAGUUCCUAUGUUCCCCAGAAUGAUUUCCUAUGGAAAAACAUCGGCCACUCGGUGACUUUUAUUUGGGCAAUCUAAAAUGUUCGUUUACCAAGCAGCCAUGCCUUGCUUCUUUUGAAAGGCAUUUAUAUACAGUACCAUCAUUAAACAAUCGGACCAGUCCAUUCAGUCAGAACCAUGACAAAACAUUUUGGAAUAUCAAAAGCCGUCACUGUUUAGGCAGAGGUGAUAAUGGCAAAUGCAUCACUGUUAUUGUUGUUACAUUAUUUCCAGGGGUAUUUUUUAAAAUGCCCAAGGGUCGCAGAAUUCUAGAUAAUCGGACCCAGCCGGAUGGAAUUAUCCAAAAGGAAUUUUUUAGGUUGCAGCUCUGAUGAGCUUCUCCUUGCUCCAGGAAUUACUGGGACAGAAACAAUUGGCACUACCAAAGCAGGCUUCUUCCUCUGCAUCCUUCCUCCAAAGAUGCACAGUGUGUCUUGAAACAUCCUUAGACAGAGCAAUGUUACACAUCAAGAACAUUCUUUUAAAAAAUUACUUGACUCUAUCAUUCGCCUCCCUAGUGGUUUCCUUUUAUAAGCCUUAUCUAUUUUGGACACUUGUUCAUUUUCUCAUUAAGCGCAAGUUUGAAUCAGCUUCAUAGGAAAUUGGCCUUCAGAAAAGAGUGAACAGCUGAGUGAAAAUCAGGUAGAGCUUUCACAUGACAGACCAAUUUGGACAAGAGAAAUGUUAAUCACAGGACUUUACACCCUGGGAUAUCUUGAACUUGUUCUCACCCCUGCCAAUGGCGGCAUGCCAACAAAAGGCCUGACAGCGCUCUAUAAUUCUGCCUAUUGGAAUUUCCAGUGAUGAUAGUAUCAGCUACUUAGGUAAGGGCCAGUCUGCCUUACCAAUAAAUCUGUUCAAUGGCAGCCAGAGAAAUCCAGAGAUUCAGGUAUGUACGCCAACAGCCAGUUUGUGACGGCACAAUAUCAGCACAGCGUAAUCAAGUGCCAGUGUGGUCCAAGCAAAACAGAAAACAACAGCCUCGUAUUACAUAUUACGGUAGUUUAUCUUCAUAGGUAAUACGAGACUGUGCGGUUCAAAGGAAAGAACAGAUAUAGUAAAUGAGAAUACUUGGAAGUCUUUUUUAGUUUAUUUAUAGAAACCUUUUCUGUUCUUUUUGUGAGUGUGCAUUAGUAUAAAUUUAAGUGUUAAUAUGUUAAUAUGUUAUUGUACUUACAUACAAUACAUUUCUUCCUUUCCCUUCUUCUCUUCUUGUACUAAACGUUGUUAUGUAUUUAUGUUUUUAAUUUAAAUCAAUAAAGAUUAUUUUAAAAAAGAAAGAAAAAGAAAACAACAGCUGUGCAAACCACAGAGAACUUUGGGGCCACAGCAGCCAUUUUCCCAGUAUCCAAGGCGACACUAACGGUACACACCAAUCAUAGGCCAGCAUGCUGAUAAUGCCCCCCCCCCCAUCAGGCAGACAUGGGAAUGGGUCCAUUGGGGGAUGGGCAAGGACGCCUAAGACAAUCCCCCCAAGCACAAGGAUGCCGUUGUUCUCUCACAAGCCUCUGCCACUGUGGUAUGUGCAGGCAGGCAGCAGGUGUGUAGCAACCAAGAGAUCCUUGCAGGCAGGGAUCUGAAUCCCAUCAGUGUCAGGCUUCAGGGAAGCAGUGAAUACAAGAAGAGUUCUUACUAAUGAGUUAAGGGGCUAUUGUCUCUGAGUCCUUUGCUCUUGCACUCUCAAUAAACGCCGAGUUCUGGGAGAGGGGGGUCAGAAAUACGCUCCAAUGAUAACGUGUCAGCUGGCUGCUCUGGCUCUGCUUCCCCCCUCCCUUCUCCCAACACAUCCCAACUCUUCUGCUCACCUGUCUCUGAGCUGUGACCUUCCCCAAACCACUGCUGUAACCGUCAUCACGCCACUCCUUGGUGUGUGGAGUGCCGCAGGGUGCGAUACUCUCCCCGAUGCUUUUCAACAUCUUUAUGCGCCUCCUUGCCCAGCUUGUCCAGAGUUUUGGGUUGGGCUGCCAUCAGUAUGCUGAUGACACCCAGCUUUAUCUGUUGAUGGAUGGCCAUCCUGACUCGGCCCCAGACACACUGAUCAGAUGUUUGGAAGCUGUGGCUGGAUGGCUAUGUGGGAGCCGGUUGAAGUUAAAUCCUUUGAAGACAGAGGUCCUCUGGCUGGGACGGGACGAUAUGGGAUUGGGGGGGCAACUCCCAUCUCUUGCGGGGGUGCAAUUAGUGCCAGCACCGUCCGUUAAGAGUUUGGGUGUAAUCUUCAACACCUCCCUUUCUAUGGAGGCACAGAUUGCAGCUAUAACAAAGGCGGCAUUUUUCCAUCUCCGCCAAGCUAAGCAGUUGGCUCCUUACCUCUCUCACCCUGACCUAGCCACUGUGAUCCACGCGAUGGUCACCUCCAGACUGGAUUAUUGUAACUAGCUCUACUGCCCUUGAGAUUGACCCAGAAACUCCAACGGGUGCAGAAUGCCGCGGCGAGACUCCUUACGGGGUCUUCAUCACGGGAUCACAUUCACCCCAUGCUAUACCAGCUGCACUGGCGCCCAGUGGAGUACAGGAUAAGGUUUAAGGUGCUUGUUUUAACCUUUAAAGCCCUAUAUGGCAUAGGAGCCUCAUACCUAUGGGACCACCUCUCCUGGUAUGUCCCAUGGAAGACUUUACGGUCUGCAAAUAACAACACCCUGAAGAUUCCGGGCCCCAGGGAGAUUAGACUGGACUUGACCAGAGCCAGGGCUUUUUGGGCCGUGGCCCCGAUGUGGUGGGACGCUCUGUCACAAGAGACUAGGGCCCUGCGGGACUUGACAUCUUUCCGCAGGGCCUGCAAGACGGAGCUGUUUCACCAGUCCUUUGGCCAAGGCACAGCCUGACCCCCUCCUUUGGUAAUUCUUCACAGAACUCUAGCCCAGUGGUUGCCAUCAAUUUGAUUUGAACUGAUUUUAUAAUGAAUUGAUUUUAGAGUGCUGUAUUAUUUUACUGUUGUUAGCCGCUAUGAGCCCAGCUUCGGCUGGGGAGGGCAGGAUAAAAAAAUAAUAAAAACUGCCGCCUUCCUCUUCUCUGGAAGCUUCAGGAGAAGGGGGGGAGCAAUCUCCACCAUUCCUCCUCCAUCUUGUCCCCUUCAGUCCAUCUCUGACAAUCAGACAUGGAAGAAAUUCUGGAAGCAGGACCAAUGAAUAGGAUUGCCAAGAUACUGAAAAGAGAGAGAUUUGCGGCCGUUACACUUUAAGGCACAGCUUCUUCCCGCUUUCCUUGCUAUAGACUCCAUUUGCACAAUAUAUUUAAAGCAGUAUCAUACCACUUUAAACAGUCCUGGCUUCUCCUAAAGAGUCCUGGGACAAUAGAGUGGUUUAGCAACCAUCCCUCAUUCCAGGGAACUCUGGGAAUUGUAGCUCCGUGAGGGGAAUAAGGGUCUUCUAAGAAUGCUCAGCACACAGCAAACUACAGUUCCCAGAAUUCUUUGGGGGAACCUAAGGCUGCGGUAGAUGUAUAGCAUUGAUGAGGCCAUAGUCCUGUGCAGAACACACUGCCAUGUGAGUAAGGAGUUUCCUGGCCAUCUGACAAGGAAUGUACAACUACUAAACUUACGUAGUGACCUUGGACCAGUUGUUAUCACUCAACGUAACCUACCUCACAAGGAGAACCAUGUACGCUGCCUUGAGCUCCUUGGAGGAAAGGGGCUAUACAACUGUAGUAAAUGAAUGAAUAGAUAAUUCUGCUGUGGAGAUAAGCUAGAAAGAGAGGCUUGCCCAGUGCCGGAUUUAUGUAUAAGCUGAACAAGCUAUAGUUUAGGGCCCCACUCUCUUGGGGGGGCCCAAAAUCACUAUUAAUAUACUUCUUAAUUGUAUUUCAGUUCAAUGAUUACUUCGAUAAACUACAUAUUUUGUUGUGUGCAAAUGGCUUUAGAUACCUAUUAGGUCCGUAAAUUACCGUAUAGCAUAUAUUCAACACAAAAAAACAGUGACAAAGGAUAGCUAGACAUAUAAAGGGCCCCAUGACCUUCAGGAGCUUAGGGCCUCAUCCAGCCUAAAUCCUGUCCUGGGCUUGGGAUCUCACCACGGGUCUUCAGGCUCUGCCUCCUGUUCUUAUAAGGGGUCAGGCUCCGGCCCUUCCCUCCCCCCCAAGUCUGAGCUUCAGGAGAUUUUGCAGCUGUAGUGUAAGACAGAUUACACUGACAAAGAAAGUGAGUGGCAAGGCAGAUGACAGUGCAGUUCUAGACAGGUCUACUCAGAAGUAAGCCCCACUCAGUCCACUGGGACUCACUCCCAAGUAAGCACAAGCUGCCUCAGAAAAUUUCAUGGCUGGACCAGAAUUUGAGCCUCAAAAUGGUCUGAAUAGGAAAUUUCUGAAAAUGAUUAAUUCCUAUUUCAAGUUUUUAGAUUAUAUGCAUAAGUCCGCAGGCAGGGCCCUAUGUUAUUUAGUUUAACAGGGACUAUUUUCUGAACUGUUGAUAAUAUUAAAGAAGCUGGCUAGACAAACUCUUUGAACAAAAUGAUGAUUUAUUACUGUUUGUAAAAUAUAAAAAUCUAAUACAUAGGGUAUGUGCUUCAUGCUCCACUGAAGUCAGUAGGACUUAAAAUGUGUUUAACUCUGAAUAAAACUCACUGUGUGUGUGUGUGUGUGUGUGUGUGUGUGUGUGUUCACCAUCAUUAAAGAAAUGUGUUACUUUAACUACUGAUCUUCUGGAAGAGAAGCUCCAGAGACACAUUAAAACUGCUUUGAGGGACCAGAACAACAAAAUAAACUGUUUCUGUACAAAUUAAAUUAAGAUUAUCUAAACAGGGCAUAACAUUGCCUUUAUAAGCAAAAGGUUUGCUUACCUGAUUUAGAAUGGAAGAUUUUUGUGGAUGUCAAUUUCAGGGGUAACUUAACACAAAAGCUACAUUGGCCGAAGCAUGGGUGACAUGUGAAAGGAAAGAGAAAACAACAGAGGAAUAUCAUGUCUGCACUGGGUGGAGAGGAUAAUGCUAGGCUGGCUUGCACUUCAUGGGAAGCCAAAGCAAUGCUUAUUGGGACUGCGCAAACAUGCUGGCUCCAGGGGAGGAGCUCGUACCCACAGGGUUCCUCCCUGGCUCUUUUAGCUUCUUAGCACAGCAUGGCAGACAAGUCAAAGUGCCAUCCAAAUUCAGGGUCAUGGUUAAGCUGUCUCCUCCUUAUCUGCAACCAGGGCUGGCUGCCUCUUGGAUGGAGGAGGAGGCACUGCUGGUCUCCUCUCACCCUUGUUCUCAAUGUACAGUGGUACCUCUAGAUACGAACGGGAUCCAUUCUGGAGCCCUGUUCGCAUCUAGAGGUAAAAGUAUCUAGCGACGGCAUGUCUGCGAACGCUUGCGUCGCUUUUUGCUGCUUCUGCACAUGCGUGUGACGUCAUUUUGAGCGUCUGCGCAUGCGCAAGCGGCAAAACCCGGAAGUAACACGCUCCUUUACUUCCGGGUUGCCGCGGAGUGCAACUCGAACGUGCUCAACUUGAAGCAAAUUUAACCCGAGGUUGUUUUUUCUCCCCUGGUUCUGAUGUAGAUUUUCACUAGCCCCUUCUUUCCUGGCCGGGGUGGGCACCAUUUUGUGGUUCGUCGCAGGUUCUAAAGUGUCUUGGGCCAGCUUGUCUAUUAUCUAUUGCUAAAAACAAGCCUUGGCCUACAGAUUGUGAUUAAGAAGAACAGAUCUUAACCAAGAUCCCAAUUUUUGAUGACAUGCUAAGCGAAACCUUGUCUUUGCUGCCACACCACACUGAACCACAGAGGAGCACAGCAGUGGCCUGUGAGCUAGCAUGUGUGGGUAUUCACACUAAACCGUGGUUUGCCUUAGCUAUACUGUACAGACAAGGACAGCAGUACAAGAAAUUACAGCUUUAUCCUCUUAGUCCUUAUUCUCACUUGGUGGCCUCAGGUGAGCAAUUCUCUCUCAGCCUCAAUCCUCUCAUCUGCAAACUGCAAAAUGUGAGAUAAUAACACUGACUUGCCUUGUAAAGAUUACAACUAGAUAAUGCAUGUGAAUCAAUUUGAAAGCACUAUAAAAAUGUUAAGUAUUUAUAUCCAGCAGUAUCAUAGAUCAUUCUUAAAACUCCCAGUACAGUACUGUAUUUUUUAACAUGAGAACAUCAGUACCCCAUUCAUGUUCUUUAAUCCGCAUUUAUGUAUGGAUGUUUCCAGUAGCAAUAUGCACUCACCCUGUUGUUGUUGUUUUAAUCAAUCAGAUUUUAAAAAUAAAACAUGAAGGAAUGGAAUUGGCCCCAUGAAACUCACUUCCUCUUAGAUGGAAGGCUAACACUCCACUAAGUGAUUUAUACCACAGUCAGAGAACAAUAUUACCAUAUUGGCCCGAAUAUAAGCCACACUUUUUUCCCUUCAAAUUCUGAUUGUGAAAAGUUAAAGUGCAGCUUAUAUUUGCAACCUUACGGUAUCACUGCUGAAACAGCUGCCCAGGAGGGUCAUCGGGGGUGCGGGACAAGGGCGUGCCGCCACCCGCAACUCCCAAGCCGGCUUGGGGAGGGAGUGCCAGGAGUGCCGGGAGGCGGUAGAGCCAGGAGGUGGGCCUGCGGCACGCUCAGAGCUGAGCACCGGCCGUCCCCCGUCCAGAGCGGUAGUGCCAGGAGGCAGGCCGCACCCGCAAAUAAGCCUUGAAUUUUAAAAGUGCAGCUUGUUUUGGGGCCAAUACAGUUUUUCGCUGAUAGAUGAGAUUCAUCCCGUUAUGGCUAUUACAAGCGCUGCAAAUAAGCAUAUCUUUAAAAAUCAUUAUUCUAAUUCCUAGUGCAAACGAAACAAAACCAACUCCUGUCAGGACUAUUAUGCAUCCCUCGUAGUAUUAUGCAAGUAGUUUUUAAGCAAAGCACAAUAGGUUUUCUAGCCAGGGAAGCCUAACCUAUUGUUUCUCCCCUUGCACAUCUGGUUGGUUGGUUUGAAAAAGGGAAAUAAUAAAGAAAACAGCUCCUCUGUAAGAUGAACCAAAUUUAACACACUUCAGGAUGUUCAGGGUGCUGAGAGUUGUUAGGAGACCUGUGGUCUCCCGACUGCGCUACGAUUCCCAGAGUCCCCUGGAAAGAGGGAUUGGCUGUUAAAUCGCUCUGGAACGGUAGUGAUGCCAGGGGAAUAGGGGUCUCCUAACGACUCUCAGCACACUUCAGAAACUACAGUUCACAGAAUUCUUUGGGGGAAACCCUGACUGUUUAAAGUGGCUUUAAAUGUAUACUGCAGAUGAGGCCUGAGCCUCAGCAAAAGUUCUUUUGGACGUGUCCUGAUUGGGGGAGAAAGGAGAAGCCUUGUGUGGAUAUUUAUUCAGCUAUGCUGACAGUUGAAUCCAUUUUUAAAUACUACUGUAACUGGAAUUUUCCUUCUCUGACUGUGUGCCUCUUGGAUAACAAAGCUGGAAUAGUUUUGCCACUGUGGGAACAAAAGAACAUUUAGAAAUUGCUCAAAACCCUUGAGGAUCCAAAAGGAAUCUUGAAGACUUUCUGAGGUUUUGAUGUUUAAUGCUGUCUAGAGCUGGAGCAUAGUUCCCCACUAUGAUGGAAAAUGUUCAGUGAAUUGAGCUAUGCACUUUUGCAUGUUCCUAUCACAGUGCGAUUCCUGCACUGCGAGGGGUUGGACUAGAUGACAUUUGAGGUCCCUUCAAACUCUACAAUUCUAUGAUUAACCCCUGCCCUUCUUCCUUCCUUCCUUCCUUCCUUCCUGUCCUCCUUCCUGUUUUCUUCUUGAAUAUUCUGGAAGCAACAGAAUAAACUGCAGGUAUCAGCAUACAAGAAGCAACUGGUGCUGAGAGAGAAGUAUUUCAAAAUGAGAAAACUUCACAAGUAUAAAAACACUGUUGCAUGGGUCUGUACUAAUUUGAAAUAAAAAAUAGGGACUGACAAUAAAGCACAGGACAGCUUAGCUAGUUGGCAGAUGAUGGACAAGGUUGGCGAGGCUUUGAGACUGUUUUUAGAAUAAGCUGUACCUUGAGCACUUACAGUCCAGGAAAGGGUCUGCAAAGAGAAAUGUCUAGCAAUAAAUGAACUAUAGCAUCUUACAGAGUUCUUUCUAGUGACAUGGAUCUCUAGGCGCUUCACAAAGUCAUAUCUUUUUUAUAUUCCAAAAAAUAUCAGAAGAUGUUUUGAGUGUAGACCAGGCAGCACAAACAGCUCUCAUAAAACAGCAGUAUGGUAGUAGUUUGCUGCUAUCCUCAAUUCCCCCUUAACUCAGUGCUACUUUGGGAAGGAGUCCAUCUCUGUCUGAAAUUCCUUCGGGCCCUGCAUAGUGUUUCCAUUUCUAUUUACAGCCUAGAAGAGUUCAGUGAGAUGCGUGAACCAUACUUGUUGGGUUUUUCCACUGACCCAAGAUGCCUGAGGCAUUACAGAAAAGGUCUAGAUAUUGUCAUUGUGGCGUGCUUUUCACCCCAGCCAAGAAGUGUUGUUGCUUUCUCAGUUUUUUACAAACCUAGAUGGACACUCACAGCUUUUCUUUAUGGGUGGUGAGGGUCCAGAAGAAGUAGAGGGUGCAGUGGACAAAACAUAUUUUGCUAGACUAUAAGGGCGUUCCAUUAGUAAAGAGAAAUCACAUUCUGAAUGACUGCAGAAUGCAGUGUCCUAGUAAACGGAUACUAUAAAGCAUGUGUGCAAGAUGCAGCCAUGACCUCCUGGCAGCAGCAUGAAGCCUCGGUUAGAAAACACCCAUCUUGAAAUCAGGUACAGCCAUGGAUUGAAGAAAAAUGGAUAGCUGUACUUAUUCAAAAUUGACUAAAGUAACUGGAGGUCAAAUGUGACAUUUACCAUCUGAAUUCUGAAUGUGAGAUUUUACCGCAGGAUUCAUCUCUAAUGGCUUUGCUAUGCGUUUCCUGACAUCUCUUAAUUGUUUUGCUUCUGGCAGGUGUCAAAUAUGAAUUGUCACAGGCUAUCAAAUGCUGUCAAAUGUGCAUGUCAAACAGUGCAAAACAGUAAACAUUAACAAAAAAAAGCCCCAAAUAUGAAUGUGAAGGGCCUUGGGUUGAUGUGGGCGGUGUGGAGCUGUGAAUUUGGGUUUCCAGCUUAAAGUCUAGGCUUUUGGCCUCCUAAGCAGAAUCUGAGUGUUCUCACUGGGGUGGCCCCAGGCAGGCUUGAGGAAAUAAAUAGGUUUCUGACUUUGUCAGAGAUUUCACUUACCCCAAGCACACACUCCAAAGCUGCUACUGAAUCCCAGGGUUAUAUGCAACAAGCAUCAAAAUUAAAUGUACUGACAUUUUAAGAAAAGGGGGGGAAAUAUUGGUGUCUGGCUGGACAUUGAGAAGUGGGGGCUAGGCACUGAGGAGUGGGCAUAAGGAGAAGGGGGGGGUGGAGACUGACUUGGAAGAAGGGAUCCGUGAUCUGGGGGAGCCUGUAACAACCAGGAGACAAGAGUCAGAGGCAGCAGAAGCUGCAGGAUCAGAGCGUGAAGAACAGGUAGCUGAAAGCCUUUCCCUGUCUUGUAAGUGUACCUUUGACAAUAAAGACUGAAUUCCUCACUCUGGACCUCCCAUGCUCCACAGCGCCGUCACAGCUGGUCCCCUAAAUAGGGCAAGGGCUUGGAAGGAACACCCAGAAGAAAUCAAAACCAACGCAAACUGGGAGGAGCAGAGCAUGAAAAGUCAACAUCAACAUAAGGGCAGAUCCUGGAAAGAGGGUCAUAGGGAGGAGAGCCUGUACGAAUCUGACAGGCAAUGUACAGAACCACAGUGAACCACAGGUGGCUUGAAAACAACAGUGGGGGCUGCCCCUGUAGUUGAACAGUUUUUCAAACCCAGAUCCUGUUUACCUGUUUGAACACUAUUUCACAGGAUAUAAAACCACAGGCAGUUGAUUAGCAACCCUAAUCAAAACAUAUCAGAGGGAGAAUCCCCACUCUGGAACACUCAAAGCACCCACUAGGGUUCCAAAUAGACACCACAAUCGCAAACUGGCUGAGUAGAUCCCGUUAUAGGUGAAACAAAUUAUAGUUCACAUGCAAGUUAACAGUGCCAAAUUAGAUAUUUUGAAAACGUGCCAAGGACUGGCUUCUAGAAGAGUCUCUGACUCACUUCCUGGUUUCACUGCUUUUCCCCAAGAGAUUUCCGAAAUGCUGGAAAUUUUGGUUUCCUGCCCUGCCACCCCCAGCCCACCCCACCCCCAACCUCCUUUCUGAUGCCUUCAACUUUCACAUGCCAGAGUGGCGGUACAGCAGAUUCUUAGUCCUUAAAAUAAAGAAAACUGUCUGCAAGACAGUUUCACAAACAUAAUUUCCUAGCCUACUCAGCCCAGUGUUUUGAAAUCAUACUUCUGCCACCAUUUUAAUGGUGAGUCUUUUAAAAGAGGCCCCGUGGAACAUGUGUACUCUGUAUCCACGGGGCCUCUUUUAAAGGACUCACCCUGUAUAUAUGUUCUUUCCUGUUAAGUUGCUGAUAAACGUUACCAAGGACAAUGGCCUCUUGCUUCCAUGGAAGUCUACAUCAGAAGAGGAAAUUAGCACAAUAUGGGAUGUGAUACUUUUCAAAACAAAUUUUCAGGGGCUUUGCUUCCCUCAACUAAGGAUGGGGGCGGGGAGUGACAGAGAUAUUGUGUUUGGUUCAUUUCGGAUUUUAAUAUGAAUUUUUCUACUUUGCAGUUCCUGGAACAAUACACAAACUGAAACGCAGCUAUGUUUCAAAAUCUGGACUUCUUUGAAUUUUUGCAAUGCAGAUUUCCAGCCAAACCAUGUGUACCAUGUGGCUGCUGGUCUUCUUGCAGGACAAAGAAGGAACUAUCAAAAUUUUGGGGAUUUCCCCCCUGAAGUACAUGCGUUUGCCAUGGUGAUGUAUGAUCUCGUCCGAGCAUUUAGAAAGUUGUGUUUUCAAAGGGUGAAGAAGUAGCACAGAGCAAGCAGGCUGCAUCCCUAGAUGCUCACUGAAAUGAAGGGCCA